Molecule: long non-coding RNA, 304 nt
Organism: Colias croceus (clouded yellow)
Lineage: Eukaryota; Metazoa; Arthropoda; Insecta; Lepidoptera; Pieridae
Exons: 2
Source: RefSeq, a predicted model, not a curated record
CGAUAUUGCACAAAUAAUACAAAUAAUACGGAAAAGUGCAAAGGAAUAACUUUUCAUCAGUUUCCAUGUCUGGGCCGUGAAGAAAGGGAAAAAUGGGUAAAAUUUGUCCAAAACAACCGCAGUGAAGAAACCUGGUUACCAUCCGAUAGAACUUGCGUCUGUUCAUUGCAUUUUCGCGAUGAGGAUAAAUAUACCACAAAAGCGGGAAGGCGUUUUCUAAAGAAGUCUGCUGUUCCUUGUAUUGAUGUUAGUAAUAAUAAUAAAAUUUUACGGAUUUGUAUAACAAAUAAAAUAUUAUUUUAGC